GACGAACGCUGGCGGCGUGCCUAACACAUGCAAGUCGAACGGAACUGUUUUGAAAGAUUUCUUCGGAAUGAAUUUGAUUUAGUUUAGUGGCGGACGGGUGAGUAACGCGUGAGUAACCUGCCUUCAAGAGGGGAAUAACAUUCUGAAAAGAAUGCUAAUACCGCAUGACAUAUCGGAACCGCAUGGUUUUGAUAUCAAAGAUUUUAUCGCUUGAAGAUGGACUCGCGUCCGAUUAGUUAGUUGGUGAGGUAACGGCUCACCAAGACCGCGAUCGGUAGCCGGACUGAGAGGUUGAACGGCCACAUUGGGACUGAGACACGGCCCAGACUCCUACGGGAGGCAGCAGUGGGGGAUAUUGCGCAAUGGGGGCAACCCUGACGCAGCAACGCCGCGUGAAGGAUGAAGGUUUUCGGAUUGUAAACUUCUUUUAUUAAGGACGAAAAAUGACGGUACUUAAUGAAUAAGCUCCGGCUAACUACGUG
This 482-nucleotide ribosomal RNA is filed under the name uncultured bacterium. RNAcentral's name for it is "partial 16S ribosomal RNA". It matches the Rfam family "Bacterial small subunit ribosomal RNA", at positions 28 to 507 of the family's 1533-position model. The record is from RNAcentral.